AUGCAUUCCACAAUCAGAAACCCAAAUAAGUCCGAUGCAUACUAAGUAUAGAGGAAAACAAACAUUUGAGACAGAAAGAAAGGAAAGAGAGAAAGUUUACCUUUGUUUCCGGUGAAGAGCUUUUAAUAGUCUCUCCUUCCUGACUUGCACUCUUCUCCCUCAUGCCUUACUAUCUAACCCCAAGUUUCAUAUCAGAUUUAAAGAGCAUCAAGAACAAAAUGGAUUGGAGUAUAUUUUUGAGAAACUGAAGAGACGGGAAACAAACAAAGGAAUAAUAUAUGGCUGAGUAAGAAAUGAAGAUGUGUUGGCUGCAAAAAUAAAAGCUGCCGCAGGGAACAAUAUCAACUAAGUAAUUGAAAUGACUAAAUUACCCUCAGGUUUGAAUUAAAUUCCACGAAGCACACACGUCGAAACCUAGCUCUUUAACAGAGAUACAUGCAUUCCACAAUCAGAAACCCAAAUAAGCCUACUACAUAGUCCUGACUAAAUAUAGAGGAAAGCAAACACUCGAAACGGAAAGAAAGGAAAGAGAGAAAGUUUACCUUUGUUUCUGGUGAAUAGCUUUAAAUAGUCUCUCCUUCCUGACGUGCACUCUUCUCCCUUGUGCUUUACUAUCUAACCCCAAGUUUCAUAUCAGAUUUAAAGAGCAUCAAGAACAAAAUGAAUUGGAGUAUAUCUUUGAAAAACUGAAGAGACGGGAAACAAACAAAGGAAUAAUAUACGACUGAGUAAGAAAUG
Molecule: long non-coding RNA, 738 nt
Filed under: Nicotiana tabacum (common tobacco)
Lineage: Eukaryota; Viridiplantae; Streptophyta; Magnoliopsida; Solanales; Solanaceae
Description: long non-coding RNA (NTAB_LNC001306)
Source: RNAcentral